UACGUAGGGUGCAGGCGUUAAUCGGAAUUACUGGGCGUAAAGCGUGCGCAGGCGGUCUGCUAAGAGAGAUGUGAAAUCCCCGGGCUUAACCUGGGAACUGCGUUUGAAACUGGAAGGCUUGAGUGUGGCAGAGGGGGGUGGAAUUCCACGUGUAGCAGUGAAAUGCGUAGAGAUGUGGAGGAACACCGAUGGCGAAGGCAGCCCCCUGGGCUAACACUGACGCUCAUGCACGAAAGCGUGGGGAGCAAACAGG
RNAcentral lists this ribosomal RNA (253 nucleotides) under uncultured bacterium. RNAcentral describes it as "partial 16S ribosomal RNA". It matches the Rfam family "Bacterial small subunit ribosomal RNA", at positions 524 to 776 of the family's 1533-position model. The record is from RNAcentral.